This 253-nucleotide ribosomal RNA is filed under the name uncultured bacterium. RNAcentral's name for it is "partial 16S ribosomal RNA". It matches the Rfam family "Bacterial small subunit ribosomal RNA", at positions 524 to 776 of the family's 1533-position model. The record is from RNAcentral.
UACGUAGGUGGCAAGCGUUGUCCGGAUUUACUGGGUGUAAAGGGCGUGUAGCCGGGAGGGCAAGUCAGAUGUGAAAUCCACGGGCUCAACUCGUGAACUGCAUUUGAAACUACUCUUCUUGAGUAUCGGAGAGGCAAUCGGAAUUCCUAGUGUAGCGGUGAAAUGCGUAGAUAUUAGGAGGAACACCAGUGGCGAAGGCGGAUUGCUGGACGACAACUGACGGUGAGGCGCGAAAGCGUGGGGAGCAAACAGG